AGUGAACGCUGGCGGUAGGCCUAACACAUGCAAGUCGAACGGCAGCACAGUAAGAGCUUGCUCUUACGGGUGGCGAGUGGCGGACGGGUGAGGAAUACAUCGGAAUCUACUUUUUCGUGGGGGAUAACGUAGGGAAACUUACGCUAAUACCGCAUACGACCUACGGGUGAAAGCAGGGGAUCUUCGGACCUUGCGCGAUUGAAUGAGCCGAUGUCGGAUUAGCUAGUUGGCGGGGUAAAGGCCCACCAAGGCGACGAUCCGUAGCUGGUCUGAGAGGAUGAUCAGCCACACUGGAACUGAGACACGGUCCAGACUCCUACGGGAGGCAGCAGUGGGGAAUAUUGGACAAUGGGCGAAAGCCUGAUCCAGCCAUGCCGCGUGGGUGAAGAAGGUCUUCGGGUUGUAAAGCCCUUUUGUUGGGAAAGAAAAGCAGCAGGUUAAUACCCCGCUGUUCUGACGGUACCCAAAGAAUAAGCACCGGCUAACUUCGUG
This 492-nucleotide ribosomal RNA is filed under the name uncultured bacterium. Its description in RNAcentral is "partial 16S ribosomal RNA". It matches the Rfam family "Bacterial small subunit ribosomal RNA", at positions 29 to 507 of the family's 1533-position model. The record is from RNAcentral.